RNAcentral lists this ribosomal RNA (491 nucleotides) under uncultured bacterium. RNAcentral's name for it is "partial 16S ribosomal RNA". It matches the Rfam family "Bacterial small subunit ribosomal RNA", at positions 29 to 507 of the family's 1533-position model. The record is from RNAcentral.
GUGAACGCUGGCGGGAGGCCUAACACAUGCAAGUCGAACGGCAGCACAGUAAGAGCUUGCUCUUACGGGUGGCGAGUGGCGGACGGGUGAGGAAUACAUCGGAAUCUACUUUUGCGUGGGGGAUAACGUAGGGAAACUUACGCUAAUACCGCAUACGACCUACGGGUGAAAGCAGGGGAUCUUCGGACCUUGCGCGAUUGAAUGAGCCGAUGUCGGAUUAGCUAGUUUGCGGGGUAAAGGCGCACCAAGGCGACGACCCGUAGCGGGUCAGAGAGGAUGAGCAGCCACCCUGGAAGUGAGACACAGUCCCGACUCCUGCGGGGGGCCGCGGCGGGGAAUAUUGGGCAAAGGGCGAGAGCCUGAUCCAGCCAUACCGCGUGGGUGAAGAAGGCCUUCGGGUUGUAAAGCCCUUUUGUUGGGAAAGAAGAGCAGCAGGUUUAUACCCCGCUGUUAUGACGGUACCCAAAGAAUAAGCACCGGCUAACUUCGUG